CGGCUGCGCCCGGGGCCCCGCGGGGCGAGCGCCGGGGACGCGGCAUCAGCGCGGGAGUCCCGGUAACUGGGGGAGCUGCGGGGGCGGGGCCCCUGUGCCCGGGGAGGGGCGGGUCCCGGGGAGCCGUGGGGGCCCAUCUGCCCGCGGGGUGGCCGGGGCUCGGGGCUGCCUAGGGAGCGAUGGUGCGUGUGUGCGCGUGGGGUGAGGGGUGUGGGCGUGAGAAAUCCCGGCCCAGCCACAGAGGAAGUGCGCGUGCCCGACGGUGCAAUGAUGUGUCUUGAUUUCCCCGGAGUGAGGGGUGGGGGUAGGUCUCCCCGCACAGUUGUGGGGUGGGGAUGCUGCAGGGAAUGGUGGCCCAGGACGGGCCCGUUUUCUCCUCCUUCACUGGCCUCUGCUCUUGUUCUUUCCUUUGAAGCAGCAGGCGCUGCCCAGCGUCGCAGCCGCGAUACCAGGCUAGAUGGGCCCCUGCUCUCACUGGGCCUGGCAGGUCCUGAGCAGCAGCUUGUGCAUCCCCCAGAGCCUGGACGUGCAGGGAGGUGGCGGGGGGCAUCUACCAGGCAGAGCUGUCCCUGUACGGAGACCCAGUGCGGGAAGACAUGCGGGAGCCGAAGUUCACAGCUGCUGUGGCCUUGGCCCUUCCUUCUGCCCUUUCCUGCUAGAGCAAAGAGCUGCCAGAAAUCUCCUUGUGGCUGUGCUCGGCUGCCCAGCGCAGUGCUCUGUAGCCCCAGCGAACCAUCCUGGUCAGACAGUUCUCAAGCUGCACUGGGAAACUAGGUAAGUUGUUUGUCCCGCUGCUCCAGCCCCCCCUUACCCUCCUCUGGUGGUUAGAAACCUCUUCUUCCAGCCUGCAUUUACUCCUGGCCAUUUAUCCCCGUUUGUUUUUGUGCCAAUGCUGUCCCUUAGUAUCAGGAGCCCUUCUUCCUCCCUGGUGGUUUGGGUGCCAGCCGCUUGCUUUACCAGUUGGGAGUUGAGAUUUCCUUCCAGAAUCCCUGGUAAAGGUCCUCAGCAGCAUUGUGCCAGGAACAGAUCCCUCCUUGCAUGAGGGUUCCCCCAUUGGCUGCUGUUCUCUGAGAUCUGCUCGGCUGUGUCCAAGAUGUUGGUAUUGCAGACGUGAGGAGGAUUCGCAGACCGGCCGAAGGGGCUGGGAUGUGCCUGUCUCCCGGUUGGUAUAACAACAAGAACUGAGGGCCAGAUUCUAAAGAGAUCUGGGCACCUGAGAAGUAGAUAAAAGCACCCACUAGGCCCCUGUUGGCUUUUUAAGUGUCCAAACAGCUGUCAGUCUAGCCUGGGUGUCUGAAUUCCAUGAGCUGCAGUGAAUCAGGACCUGCAGCCCUUUGCAUUUCUCUCAGUGCUGGCAUUCCAAGAGUUACUGGUGACUACGACUCCCAGAGUGAGUGUCCCUAUCCAUUAGGCUGCUCUGACGCUGCCCCUUUCCACCCCCUGAGGUUCCCGUUCUCUCUGGCACAGGGACGGAUUAAUCUCUGGAUUUACUCUCUG
RNAcentral lists this long non-coding RNA (1497 nucleotides) under Gopherus agassizii (Agassiz's desert tortoise). Its description in RNAcentral is "lncRNA (ENSGAGG00000015905.1)". Lineage: Eukaryota; Metazoa; Chordata; Testudines; Testudinidae. The record is from RNAcentral.